Molecule: long non-coding RNA, 223 nt
Filed under: Malus domestica (apple)
Lineage: Eukaryota; Viridiplantae; Streptophyta; Magnoliopsida; Rosales; Rosaceae
Description: long non-coding RNA (MDOM_LNC012613)
Source: RNAcentral
GAGUUAGCUUAUUACAAAUAGCGAGCUUUGUUAACCAAUAGUUAACAAGUCAUUCAUAAUGUAGCAUACCGGAUUAUGUAGCCGUCACGACAAUCUUUUGUUCACUUAAUAAAAUUAUAUUAGUUUAUACUUGGUUUGUCGUUUUUUAGUUAUGCACUUUGAUAUUCAACUAUUUGAAUAUGCUAAUAUCUGGAACUUGAAAAAGAAAUCUCAUAGGUUAUCG